This 810-nucleotide unclassified non-coding RNA is filed under the name Hevea brasiliensis (rubber tree). Lineage: Eukaryota; Viridiplantae; Streptophyta; Magnoliopsida; Malpighiales; Euphorbiaceae. The record is from RNAcentral.
AUCAGAAUGAGUAUAUGAAAAAUAAAUUAAAGAUGAACAAAGUGCAUGGAUCGAUUUUUCCUUUUCAUUUCCUAAAAAAUUCUCACAACAUGCUUUUCCUAUAACAAGAUAACUGGACACAAGCUUCAUAUAGCCAAGCAAAUAUUUUAUGGCAUGAAUAAACUGAUGAGUUUGAUCCUUGGAUCAGUACACAUACCACAGCUAAUAAGUAAAAUAGGAUAACUAUAUGUAGGCAAGCAACAUUCAAGAGUUUAAAAAAAAUUCAAUCCAAUUUCGUAUGCCAAAUCUGGUCAGCAAUUUUGCGGUAGCAUAUUCCAAGCAGAAAAUGAAACUUUGCUAUAUGUGUCAAUUAAGCAUAUCUCAAACUAGCAGAAAACACAUAACAUGAACUGAAAACUAUAUAACAACUAAAGAACUAUGGCAAACUUACUCAUGGCCUUUAAGAAUGCGAAAAGGCACUAUGAAACAAUAAGUUGUUUUUGAUAAUCUACUAUUACUAAGAAUCAAUAUGCAGACUCAUACAACCCCAUUUGAAAAUAGUCAAAAGAAAAACGAGAAGAGAGGGAUUUCAAGAACAAGAGAACAGAAUACAGGUCAUAGUUCACAUGCCUCAAGGAAAUAAAUUAGAAUUUGACUAUCUUAAGAAUGAAAACAAAAGGAAAACAAAAAAAAGAUAAAAACAUGCUAAAUUAUGCGAUAUGACAAAACGAUAUAGUGAGUUUCGAAAUUACGGGAAAGAAAUCAACAGAAUUGCAACCUAUCGACAAAAUGCCUUCAUCCCAUGAAUCAAUAUUAUUAGAAAUAACUAAG